GGUACUUCUCGCAGGAGAGAGUUUCUGAUGUAAACCUGCCCAAGCUUCGUCACCAAGCCCUUAAACGAUUAAAAUCAUUUAUAAGUGUGGCACUUCCUUCAAGUGUUGAUGAAGGAAGUAUUGCUCCUAUGACUGUCCUGGUUCAGAAGCUUCAAAAUGCUUUAUCAUCUGUAGAGCGUUUCCCUGUAGUUCUUAGCCAUUCAUCUAGGUCUUCUGGUGGGAGUGCACGCCUCUCUUCUGGAUUAAGUGCAUUGUCUCAGCCUUUUAAGUUGCGGCUUUGUCGAGCCCAAGGAGAGAAGUCUCUACGUGACUAUUCUUCAAAUAUUGUGAUGAUUGAUCCAUUAGCAAGUCUAGCAGCUGUUGAAGAAUUUCUUUGGCCACGAGUUCAACGUAGUGACAAUGCUCAAAAACCGUGUGUGUCUGUAGGAAAUUCUGACUCUGGGAACACUCCCAGUGGGGCUGUUGCUUCUUCUCCAUCUACCUCAACUCCUGCUUCGACCGCUCGUCGUCAUUCUUCAAGGUCCAGAUCAUCUGUUAAUAUUGGAGAUGUUGCCAGAAAGGAAUCAUCACAGGAGAAAAGCACAAGUUCGUCAAAGGGAAAAGGUAAGGCUGUUUUGAAGCCUGCUCAAGAGGAGUCAAGAGGGCCUCAAACAAGAAAUGCUGCUCGUAGAAGAGCUGUUCUGGAUAAAG
This 690-nucleotide long non-coding RNA is filed under the name Gossypium barbadense (sea-island cotton). Its description in RNAcentral is "long non-coding RNA (GBAR_LNC013704)". The record is from RNAcentral. Lineage: Eukaryota; Viridiplantae; Streptophyta; Magnoliopsida; Malvales; Malvaceae.